RNAcentral lists this ribosomal RNA (512 nucleotides) under uncultured microorganism. RNAcentral describes it as "bacterial SSU rRNA". It matches the Rfam family "Bacterial small subunit ribosomal RNA", at positions 9 to 524 of the family's 1533-position model. The record is from RNAcentral.
GAGUUUGAUCGUGGCUCAGGAUGAACGCUGGCGGCGUGCUUAACACAUGCAAGUCGAACGAGGAAUUUUAAAUGAGACUUCGGUGGAUUUUAAAAUUCUUAGUGGCGGACGGGUGAGUAACGCGUGGGCAACCUGCCCUGUACAGGGGGGACAACAGCUGGAAACGGCUGCUAAUACCGCAUAAGACCACGGAGCCGCAUGGCUCAGUGGGAAAAACUCCGGUGGUACAGGAUGGGCCCGCGUUGGAUUAGGUAGUUGGUGAGGUAACGGCCCACCAAGCCGACGAUCCAUAGCCGACCUGAGAGGGUGACCGGCCACGUUGGGACUGAGACACGGCCCAAACUCCUACGGGAGGCAGCAGUGGGGAAUCUUCCGCAAUGGGCGAAAGCCUGACGGAGCAACGCCGCGUGAGUGAAGAAUUAUUUCGGUAUGUAAAGCUCUAUCAGCAGGGAAGAAAAUGACAGUACCUGACUAAGAAGCCCGGCUAACUACGUGCCAGCAGCCGCGGUAAC